CAUCUAUUAAAUGGCAGGUUCCCUGGUGAUAGAGAAGGGAAUUAUACAUGCUUCGCAAAUAGAGGUACCGUGACGUUAUCAAAAUAUGAGUCCCUUAGUCCAUGUGACAGACAGAUUUUCAUUACCAAUUUGAUGAAUAGAUUUAACCAUGAUUUUCAGUUAGCCUGGUGUCCAAAGUGUUUAAAAUUGUUGAUGGACCUCCGGGUCACUUUGCCAAAUGUCAGUUUGGCGCCAUCUUUAAAAAUGGCUGCCAUUUUUUGUUUGAAAUGGUGCAAGUCAGGGAAAUCCUCAUAACUCCGCAACCGAUUCGCCUAUUGAUAUGGAAUAUGGCUCAAAAUGUUCAUAAAACAAUUCUACAUCUGUUGGUAUAUGAUACAUGUUGUUGAAUAAAUCAUUUUUUUUUCAAAAUCAA
Patella vulgata (common limpet) is the source of this 412-nucleotide long non-coding RNA. RefSeq lists it as uncharacterized. The transcript has 2 exons. The record is from RefSeq and is a predicted model, not a curated record. NCBI's taxonomy places the organism in Eukaryota, Metazoa, Mollusca, Gastropoda, Patellidae.